RNAcentral lists this ribosomal RNA (460 nucleotides) under uncultured bacterium. Its description in RNAcentral is "partial 16S ribosomal RNA". It matches the Rfam family "Bacterial small subunit ribosomal RNA", at positions 338 to 795 of the family's 1533-position model. The record is from RNAcentral.
CCUACGGGAGGCAGCAGUGAGGAAUAUUGGUCAAUGGACGAGAGUCUGAACCAGCCAAGUAGCGUGAAGGAUGACUGCCCUAUGGGUUGUAAACUUCUUUUAUAUGGGAAUAAAAUGUUCCACGUGUGGGAUUUUGUAUGUACCAUAUGAAUAAGGAUCGGCUAACUCCGUGCCAGCAGCCGCGGUAAUACGGAGGAUCCGAGCGUUAUCCGGAUUUAUUGGGUUUAAAGGGAGCGUAGGUGGAUUGUUAAGUCAGUUGUGAAAGUUUGCGGCUCAACCGUAAAAUUGCAGUUGAAACUGGCAGUCUUGAGUACAGUAGAGGUGGGCGGAAUUCGUGGAGUAGCGGUGAAAUGCUUAGAUAUCACGAAGAACGCCGAUUGCGAAGGCAGUUCACUGGACUGCAACUGACACUGAGGCUCGAAAGUGUGGGUAUCAAACAGGAUUAGAUACCCCAGUAGUC